Molecule: non-coding RNA, 31 nt
Filed under: Mus musculus (house mouse)
Lineage: Eukaryota; Metazoa; Chordata; Mammalia; Rodentia; Muridae
Source: RNAcentral
UAAAUGUGGUUUUUAAAGAAACUCUUACUGC